UGGACCAAUGAUGGGAAUGUGUUACAAACCCCAAAUUAUGUUUAAUCUAAAUCAGCACAACUGAGGUCAUU
RNAcentral lists this small nucleolar RNA (71 nucleotides) under Tursiops truncatus (common bottlenose dolphin). RNAcentral's name for it is "Small nucleolar RNA SNORD112 (ENSTTRG00000025269.1)". Lineage: Eukaryota; Metazoa; Chordata; Mammalia; Artiodactyla; Delphinidae. The record is from RNAcentral.